RNAcentral lists this ribosomal RNA (429 nucleotides) under Bacteroidota bacterium. RNAcentral describes it as "Bacteroidetes bacterium partial 16S ribosomal RNA". It matches the Rfam family "Bacterial small subunit ribosomal RNA", at positions 355 to 776 of the family's 1533-position model. Lineage: Bacteria; Pseudomonadati; Bacteroidota. The record is from RNAcentral.
UAGGGAAUCUUCGGCAAUGGGGGGAACCCUGACCGAGCAACGCCGCGUGAGUGAAGAAGGUUUUCGGAUCGUAAAGCUCUGUUGUUAAGGAAGAACGAGUGUGAGAAUGGAAAGUUCAUACUGUGACGGUACUUAACCAGAAAGGGACGGCUAACUACGUGCCAGCAGCCGCGGUAAUACGUAGGUCCCGAGCGUUGUCCGGAUUUAUUGGGCGUAAAGCGAGCGCAGGCGGUUAGAUAAGUCUGAAGUUAAAGGCAGUGGCUCAACCAUUGUAGGCUUUGGAAACUGUUUAACUUGAGUGCAGAAGGGGAGAGUGGAAUUCCAUGUGUAGCGGUGAAAUGCGUAGAUAUAUGGAGGAACACCGGUGGCGAAAGCGGCUCUCUGGUCUGUAACUGACGCGGAGGCUCGAAAGCGUGGGUAGCAAACAGG